GUUUUUGCACAGUGGCAGUGUCAUAGCCAAUGAGGUCUAUCCAAGGCGUGAUUAUUGCUAAUCGAAAACUGAAGGCA
Molecule: small nuclear RNA, 77 nt
Filed under: Rattus norvegicus (Norway rat)
Lineage: Eukaryota; Metazoa; Chordata; Mammalia; Rodentia; Muridae
Description: U4 spliceosomal RNA
Rfam family: U4 spliceosomal RNA
About the family: U4 small nuclear RNA (U4 snRNA) is a component of the major U2-dependent spliceosome. The structure of U4 snRNA from yeast and human has been reported.
Source: Rfam by way of RNAcentral